RNAcentral lists this ribosomal RNA (146 nucleotides) under Peronospora sparsa. RNAcentral describes it as "partial 5.8S ribosomal RNA". It matches the Rfam family "5.8S ribosomal RNA". Rfam says of the family: 5.8S ribosomal RNA (5.8S rRNA) is a component of the large subunit of the eukaryotic ribosome. It is transcribed by RNA polymerase I as part of the 45S precursor that also contains 18S and 28S rRNA. Lineage: Eukaryota; Oomycota; Peronosporomycetes; Peronosporales; Peronosporaceae. The record is from RNAcentral.
CAGUGGAUGUCUAGGCUCGCACAUCGAUGAAGAACGCUGCGAACUGCGAUACGUAAUGCGAAUUGCAGGAUUCAGUGAGUCAUCGAAAUUUUGAACGCAUAUUGCACUUCCGGGUUAGUCCUGGAAGUAUGCCUGUAUCAGUGUCC